UAGGGAAUAUUGCACAAUGGGGGAAACCCUGAUGCAGCAAUGCCGCGUGAAGGAUGAAGGUUUUCGGAUUGUAAACUUCUAUCGAUGGGGAAGAAAGAAAUGACGGUACCCAAGUAAGAAGCCCCGGCUAACUAUGUGCCAGCAGCCGCGGUAAUACAUAGGGGGCAAGCGUUAUCCGGAUUUACUGGGUGUAAAGGGUGCGUAGGUGGUUAGGAAAGUCAGAUGUGAAAACCCAAGGCUUAACUUUGGGAAUGCAUUUGAAACUUCUUGACUAGAGUACAGGAGAGGUAAGUGGAAUUUCUAGUGUAGCGGUAAAAUGCGUAGAUAUUAGGAAGAACACCAGUGGCGAAGGCGACUUACUGGACUGAAACUGACACUGAGGCACGAAAGCGUGGGGAGC
RNAcentral lists this ribosomal RNA (400 nucleotides) under uncultured bacterium. RNAcentral describes it as "bacterial SSU rRNA". It matches the Rfam family "Bacterial small subunit ribosomal RNA", at positions 355 to 769 of the family's 1533-position model. The record is from RNAcentral.